CCUACGGGAGGCAGCAGUGAGGAAUAUUGGUCAAUGGCCGGAAGGCUGAACCAGCCAAGCCGCGUGAAGGACGAAGGUGCCAAGCAUUGUAAACUUCUUUUGUCAAGGGACAAAAUCAGGCUCGAGAGCCUGACCGAGGGUACUUGAAGAAAAAGCAUCGGCUAACUCCGUGCCAGCAGCCGCGGUAAUACGGAGGAUGCGAGCGUUAUCCGGAUUCAUUGGGCGUAAAGCGCGCGUAGGCGGCCGCCUAAGCGGAACCUCUAACCCCGGGGCUCAACCUCGGGCCGGGUUCCGGACUGGGCGGCUCGAGUGCGGUAGAGGAGAGCGGAAUUCCCGGUGUAGCGGUGGAAUGCGCAGAUAUCGGGAAGAACACCGAUGGCGAAGGCAGCUCUCUGGGCCGUCACUGACGCUGAGGCGCGAAAGCUGGGGGAGCGAACAGGAUUAGAUACCCGGGUAGUC
This 459-nucleotide ribosomal RNA is filed under the name uncultured bacterium. RNAcentral's name for it is "partial 16S ribosomal RNA". It matches the Rfam family "Bacterial small subunit ribosomal RNA", at positions 338 to 795 of the family's 1533-position model. The record is from RNAcentral.